CUCUUUUUACUUCCACCGAUAAGGAGGUUGAAAAAUGGAUGGUCUUUAUUACCUAUCCCAAUUUUCACGCUGAAAGUCGAUUGACUAGCCGUAUAAUUUACUUAUAACGUGAAUGUUGAGGUAUCUUUUGAGGAAUGCAAAGUCUUGGAGAGAUGGAAGUAUCGAAUCCCCUGCUCCGAACCAGCCCAUGGCAUAGGUAGGAGAGUCCGUCCUGGGGCAUUCGUAAAAUCGUAAUAUUUAGGGGCCUCCAAUAUUUGUAGGGUUUUUUAUAAAUAAUGUCAGUUGGAAUUAUUUCAAUAAUUAUAUGGGCUCACAUAUUUGACGUAAAUGUGUAUGGCUAUCUAAAAGAACGUCCAAAUUAAUUGUGAUCUAACAAAGAUUAUUGGGUUAGAC
RNAcentral lists this long non-coding RNA (393 nucleotides) under Erythranthe guttata (spotted monkey flower). RNAcentral describes it as "long non-coding RNA (EGUT_LNC000599)". Lineage: Eukaryota; Viridiplantae; Streptophyta; Magnoliopsida; Lamiales; Phrymaceae. The record is from RNAcentral.